CUGUCUUGCUUGGUUCAGAGUUUUAAGAACACAUGCCAUUACCUUAUGAUAUUGUUUUCUACCUUAUUUUUGUUUUUUAUUUACUUACUAAGGAUGCUAAUUAAGUAUUAGUGCAGUAUUACGUUAUGAAAGAAAAGAGAAGAAAUGAUCUAACAGAAUCAAAGAAACGACAAGGGUGUUCAUGCUAUAUGUCUGAAUUGACAAAUAUUCUAAUUGUCUGAAUGGUUAUAUAUUGCUGAUAUUAUGUCUGAAUGGUUGUAUACUGCGGACAUAAUGAUUUCUUAGGUAUGUUAUUGCUCUUUUAGUGACAACUUAUUAUCUUUGCCAUGUUCAUUGUGACGAUGCAUGCCACUUGAGAUACAACAAAUACAAAAGCAAUGUCAUGUACUACACUUUGGGCUUGAAUUGAUCUGACUAGAACAUUUAUGAGUGAGCUAAUGUAUUGAGGGAGGGUAUCAUAAUUGCAGAUCACAAAUGCGCAUAUUCUUCUUUCAUUUCAGUAUUGAAAUGUACGCAUGAAAGCAUUCAUCACAUGGUUGUUGCAUCAUAUUGUAUAAAAUGGUAAGGAAAUGUAUGUGAUAGCGUUCCUAUUUAAGUAUGAUAGGAGACAUAGAAAUAACCCUCUACAAGGCCAUCCUGCAUACCUGAGACCAAGAAAGGAGUAAAUCUUAGUCGUUGUUAGGUUCAUACUAGCAUAUACACAUAUGCAGUGCACUCAAUUUUCAUACUUAGUUAGAACGGUCUUUGAUAUGCUAGGUUUAUACCAACAUACAUCACAUGUGUAUGCAAUGAACACAUGUAUUGCACUUAGUUGGAAAUUGCUUUUGCAAUGAAGCCGAAAGCCAAAGUCAUCUUGGGACUUGGAAACAUCAGGAUAUUCGAGAGCCCUCCCUGGACAUUUGCAGGAAGGCACAAUUGGCAUGUUCGUUAGCUUGAGUAGGACUCUUCAUCAGACUACUGCUCUUGACCGAGGAACAUCGAUUAUGCUAGUACAGAACAUCACCAUAUGUGUUCUGCCAAUGUCCUCGGUGGUCCAUGUUGGUAGGGCCGCUGUAUUUCACUUGGAUGAAAGUGAGCUAAUCAAAAGAUACUGGCUUAACAUAUGAGUGUUUAUCGACUGAAACGAACUCAAGUGUGAUUUCAAAGCACCCGAGAAACAUUUACUCAAUAAAAAUGACAUUUUUGAUAGCACACAAAUCUAGGAAAAAGGGUAUAUUUCUUGAAGUUGGAGGCUACAACAGUUACUUAAAGUGAGGUUUAUCCAAAAUUGUUUGAGAGAUCUUAGUAAAGAAACAAUUGAUUAGAUACUUUGUCCUCUAACCCUGGCACAAUUUCCAGGUGCCAAAGAGACAAUUUAUUUUUUCAUGUAGAGACCGAAGCACAAUUAGCAGUUGACACGAUAAUAGUCUAAGUUUUAUAAAACCAUCAUAGCUUUAUUCAUCACCAGGUCGUUGUUGUAUAGUAAAUAUUGCUAUCUAUCGUAUGGGUGAGUUGGGUUUGAUCACCCGGGACCGCUAUUUUUUUAGCAUACAUGACAUGUAUUUAUUUUCGCA
This 1553-nucleotide long non-coding RNA is filed under the name Hordeum vulgare. Its description in RNAcentral is "long non-coding RNA (HVUL_LNC017258)". Lineage: Eukaryota; Viridiplantae; Streptophyta; Magnoliopsida; Poales; Poaceae. The record is from RNAcentral.